This 502-nucleotide ribosomal RNA is filed under the name uncultured bacterium. Its description in RNAcentral is "bacterial SSU rRNA". It matches the Rfam family "Bacterial small subunit ribosomal RNA", at positions 62 to 543 of the family's 1533-position model. The record is from RNAcentral.
UCGAACGCGAAAGUCCCCUUCGGGGGACAAGUAGAGUGGCGCACGGGUGAGUAACACGUAGGUAAUCUACCUUCGGAUGGGGAAUAACAACCGGAAACGGUUGCUAAUACCGCAUAAUGCAGCGGCACCUAAUGGUGACAGUUGUUAAAGCGGGGGAUCGAAAGACCUCGCGUCUGAAGAGGAGCCUGCGGCGGAUUAGCUAGUUGGUAGGGUAACGGCCUACCAAGGCGACGAUCCGUAGCCGGCCUGAGAGGGCGGUCGGCCACACUGACACUGACAUACGGGUCAGACUCCUACGGGAGGCAGCAGUCGGGAAUUUUGGGCAAUGGGCGAAAGCCUGACCCAGCAACGCCGCGUGAAGGAUGAAAUCCCUCGGGAUGUAAACUUCGCAAGAACGGGAAGAAUAAGUAGGGGACAAUACCCCCUAUGAUGACGGUACCGUUUGUAAGCUCCGGCUAACUCCGUGCCAGCAGCCGCGGUAAUACGGGGGGAGCAAGCGUUG